RNAcentral lists this ribosomal RNA (195 nucleotides) under uncultured bacterium. Its description in RNAcentral is "partial 16S ribosomal RNA". It matches the Rfam family "Bacterial small subunit ribosomal RNA", at positions 338 to 524 of the family's 1533-position model. The record is from RNAcentral.
CCUACGGGAGGCAGCAGUGGGGAAUAUUGGACAAUGGGCGAAAGCCUGAUCCAGCCAUGCCGCGUGUGUGAAGAAGGUCUUCGGAUUGUAAAGCACUUUAAGUUGGGAGGAAGGGUUGUAGAUUAAUACUCUGCAAUUUUGACGUUACCGACAGAAUAAGCACCGGCUAACUCUGUGCCAGCAGCCGCGGGUAAU